RNAcentral lists this ribosomal RNA (433 nucleotides) under uncultured bacterium. Its description in RNAcentral is "partial 16S ribosomal RNA". It matches the Rfam family "Bacterial small subunit ribosomal RNA", at positions 29 to 507 of the family's 1533-position model. The record is from RNAcentral.
AACGAACGCUGGCGGCAGGCCUAACACAUGCAAGUCGAGCGAGGACUUCGGUCCUAGCGGCGGACGGGUGAGUAACGCGUGGGAACGUGCCCUUUGUUUCGGAAUAGCCCUGGGAAACUGGGAGUAAUACCGGAUGAGCCCUUUGGGGGAAAGAUUUAUCGGCGAAGGAUCGGCCCGCGUUGGAUUAGGUAGUUGGUGGGGUAAUGGCCUACCAAGCCGACGAUCCAUAGCUGGUUUGAGAGGAUGAUCAGCCACACUGGGACUGAGACACGGCCCAGACUCCUACGGGAGGCAGCAGUGGGGAAUCUUAGACAAUGGGGGAAACCCUGAUCUAGCCAUGCCGCGUGAGCGAUGAAGGCCUUAGGGUUGUAAAGCUCUUUCAGCUGGGAAGAUAAUGACGGUACCAGCAGAAGAAGCCCCGGCUAACUCCGUG